GCCCUGGUAGUGUAACCGUUAAGCACUCGGCUGCUAACUGAAAGGGUGGUGGUUCAAACCCACCCCAGCA
This 70-nucleotide transfer RNA is filed under the name Loxodonta africana (African savanna elephant). It matches the Rfam family "tRNA". From Rfam's summary of the family: Transfer RNA (tRNA) molecules are approximately 80 nucleotides in length. Their secondary structure includes four short double-helical elements and three loops (D, anti-codon, and T loops). Lineage: Eukaryota; Metazoa; Chordata; Mammalia; Proboscidea; Elephantidae. The record is from Rfam by way of RNAcentral.